RNAcentral lists this transfer RNA (63 nucleotides) under Leptomyrmex pallens. RNAcentral describes it as "tRNA-Cys". Lineage: Eukaryota; Metazoa; Arthropoda; Insecta; Hymenoptera; Formicidae. The record is from RNAcentral.
GUAUUCUAUAGUUUAUUAAAAUAUUAAAUUGCAAAUUUAAAGAAAUUUAGUUAAGUUAGGAUA